This 405-nucleotide ribosomal RNA is filed under the name uncultured bacterium. RNAcentral describes it as "bacterial SSU rRNA". It matches the Rfam family "Bacterial small subunit ribosomal RNA", at positions 355 to 777 of the family's 1533-position model. The record is from RNAcentral.
UAGGGAAUAUUAGAAAUGGACGAAAGUCUGAUCUAGCGACACCGCGUGUGCGAAGAGGGCCUUCGGGUUGUAAAGCACUUUUUGGAAGGAAUAGGAAGGAAGGUACUUCCAGAAUAAGUCUCGGCUAACUACGUGCCAGCAGCCGCGGUAACACGUAGGAGGCAAACGUUAUCCGGAUUUAUUGGGCGUAAAGCGCGUGUAGGUGGUUCUGUAAGUAGGGCGUGAAAGCUCCUGGCUCAACCGGGAGAGGCCGUUCUAUACUGCAGAGCUAGAGGAUGGUAGAGGGAGGUGGAAUUCCAGGUGUAGCGGUGGAAUGCGCAGAUGUCUGGAGGAACACCAGUGGCGAAGGCGGCCUCCUGGACCAUUCCUGACACUCAGACGCGAAAGCUAGGGUAGCAAACGGGA